GAUGAAGAACGUAGUGAAAUGCGAUAAGUAAUGUGAAUUGCAGAAUUCAGUGAAUCAUCGAAUCUUUGAACGCACAUUGCGCCCGCCAGUAUUCUGGCGGGCAUGCCUGUUCGAGCGUCAUUUCAACCCUCAAGACCCCUUCGGGGGACUUGGUGUUGGGGACCGACACAGGGGCCUGCCUGCUUGUCUUGCAGCGCCCUCGCCGCCCCCGAAAUGAAUUGGCGGCCUCGUCGCGGCCUCCCCUGCGUAGUAGCACAACCUCGCAACGGGAACGUGACGGCGGCCACUGCCGUAAAACAACCCCAAUUUUAUUAGAGUUGACCUCGAAUCAGGUAGGAAUACCCGCUGAACUUAAGCAUAUCAAUAAGCGGAGGA
Molecule: unclassified non-coding RNA, 375 nt
Filed under: soil metagenome
Description: partial contains 5.8S ribosomal RNA, internal transcribed spacer 2, and large subunit ribosomal RNA
Rfam family: 5.8S ribosomal RNA (bases 1-120)
Source: RNAcentral